CGGGGUGCCCAGGCGCGAAAACUUUACAAUGCUGGAAACAGCGAUAAGGGGACCUCGAGUGCCAGGUUACAAAUCUGGCUGUCGUGAUGCCUAAAAAGCAUUGCAUAGCAAGGGCCGGGCAAGACCGGUGCCAGCCGCCGCGGUAACACCGGCGGCUCGAGUGGUAACCGUUAUUAUUGGGUCUAAAGGGUCUGUAGCCGGCCGGAUAAGUCUCUUGGGUAAUCUGGCAGCUUAACUGUCAGGCUUUCAGGAGAUACUGUCUGGCUCGAGGCCGGGAGAGGUGAGAGGUACUUCAGGGGUAGGGGUGAAAUCUUGUAAUCCUUGAUGGACCACCAGUGGCGAAGGCGUCUCACCAGAACGGACCUGACGGCAAGGGACGAAAGCUAGGGGCACGAACCGGAUUAGAUACCCGGGUAGUCCUAGCCGUAAACGAUACUCGCUAGGUGUCGGCCACGGUGCGACCGUUGUCGGUGCCGUAGGGAAGCCGUGAAGCGAGCCACCUGGGAAGUACGGCCGCAAGGCUGAAACUUAAAGGAAUUGGCGGGGGAGCAC
This 552-nucleotide ribosomal RNA is filed under the name uncultured archaeon. Its description in RNAcentral is "bacterial SSU rRNA". It matches the Rfam family "Archaeal small subunit ribosomal RNA", at positions 326 to 879 of the family's 1478-position model. The record is from RNAcentral.